CCUACGGGAGGCAGCAGUGAGGAAUAGUGGUCAAUGGACGGAAGUCUGAACCAGCCAUGCCGCGUGCAGGAAGACGGCUCUAUGAGUUGUAAACUGCUUUUGUACAAGGGUAAACCGGAAUACGUGUAGGCAGCUGAAAGGACUGUACGAAUAAGGAUCGGCUAACUCCGUGCCAGCAGCCGCGGUAAUACGGAGGAUCCAAGCGUUAUCCGGAUUUAGUGGGUUUAAAGGGUGCGUAGGCGGAUUGAUAAGGUAGAGGUGCAAUGUCCGUGCUUCACUCGGGAACUGCCUCUCAUACUGUUGAUCUAGAGAGUAGCUGCGGUAGGCGGCAUGUAUUGUGUAGCCGU
Molecule: ribosomal RNA, 347 nt
Filed under: uncultured bacterium
Lineage: Bacteria
Description: partial 16S ribosomal RNA
Rfam family: Bacterial small subunit ribosomal RNA
Source: RNAcentral